AGAGUUUGAUCCUGGCUCAGAGUGAACGCUGGCGGUAGGCCUAACACAUGCAAGUCGAACGGCAGCACAGUAAGAGCUUGCUCUUAUGGGUGGCGAGUGGCGGACGGGUGAGGAAUACAUCGGAAUCUACCUUUUCGUGGGGGAUAACGUAGGGAAACUUACGCUAAUACCGCAUACGACCUUCGGGUGAAAGCAGGGGACCUUCGGGCCUUGCGCGGAUAGAUGAGCCGAUGUCGGAUUAGCUAGUUGGCGGGGUAAAGGCCCACCAAGGCGACGAUCCGUAGCUGGUCUGAGAGGAUGAUCAGCCACACUGGAACUGAGACACGGUCCAGACUUCCUACGGGAGGCAGCAGUGGGGAAUAUUGGACAAUGGGCGCAAGCCUGAUCCAGCCAUACCGCGUGGGUGAAGAAGGCCUUCGGGUUGUAAAGCCCUUUUGUUGGGAAAGAAAAGCAGUCGAUUAAUACUCGGUUGUUCUGACGGUACCCAAAGAAUAAGCACGGCUANUAACGNGGUUCAA
RNAcentral lists this ribosomal RNA (518 nucleotides) under Stenotrophomonas maltophilia. RNAcentral describes it as "bacterial SSU rRNA". It matches the Rfam family "Bacterial small subunit ribosomal RNA", at positions 8 to 510 of the family's 1533-position model. The record is from RNAcentral. Lineage: Bacteria; Pseudomonadati; Pseudomonadota; Gammaproteobacteria; Lysobacterales; Lysobacteraceae.